GCAGGUGAUCGGAAGAUCUGCCAAGCUCAGAGCCGUUUCCAGCAGCAUCGCUUCCUCUGCAGAGAAGCUUCCCCUCCCCGUGUGGAGGCCCAGUGGAGUCGCAGCCUCGGCCUAACCCUCCCCCUACCCAAUGCCAGGCACUGGGAGUGCCCGGGCCUCCAGAGGUGUCUUUGCUCCCAGGUACCCUGGAAACAGUGCCUGGUCCCGGAGUCUGGGCCAAAAGAGGAUGGGCAGCCUUGUGCCCCAGAGCACCAUGGGAGUAUCUUGGGCAUCACCUUAAACUGGGAAUCUCAGCCCAUGGCCUGCCACAACAGCCCAAGAGCAGCAAUCAAGCCGGGUGACACGGCCAGGCUCUGCGGGGACAUGCACCACUGUCUCAAGGCCACAUGAAGACGCCCAGCCCAGGGGAACCAGUGAACACCAGACAGGUGGGCUGCUGCCACCUCUGAUUGUAAGUGAAAGAAAUUUGUGUGACCAAAAAAAAAAAAAUACAGCAAUGCUUAAAUGAAAGUAGAAGUUAUUAUAGUGAAAUGUGCGAAGCACCCUCCAGUCCUCCCCCGCUCAUCGGACACGUGCAGCCCACGUCGGCGCCACUUUCCGAAGCAGCCCUGCAGGGCUCUUCUGUCAAGUAAAGGGCAAUUUCUGUCAAG
Molecule: long non-coding RNA, 650 nt
Filed under: Cavia porcellus (domestic guinea pig)
Lineage: Eukaryota; Metazoa; Chordata; Mammalia; Rodentia; Caviidae
Description: lncRNA (ENSCPOG00000034536.1)
Source: RNAcentral